RNAcentral lists this ribosomal RNA (253 nucleotides) under uncultured bacterium. RNAcentral describes it as "partial 16S ribosomal RNA". It matches the Rfam family "Bacterial small subunit ribosomal RNA", at positions 524 to 776 of the family's 1533-position model. The record is from RNAcentral.
UACAGAGGUCCCGAGCGUUGUUCGGAUUCACUGGGCGUAAAGGGUGCGUAGGUGGCAGGGUAAGUCGGAUGUGAAAGCUCGGAGCUCAACUCCGAAAUGGCAUUGGAAACUACCCAGCUCGAGUGUUGGAGGGGGGACUGGAAUGCUUGGUGUAGCAGUGAAAUGCGUAGAUAUCAAGCGGAACACCAGUGGCGAAGGCGAGUCCCUGGACAACUCCUGACACUGAGGCACGAAAGCUAGGGGAGCAAACAGG